CUGGGUUGGAUGAGUGGCGAACGGGUGAGUAACACGUGAGUAACCUGCCCUCUUCUUUGGGAUAACGGUCGGAAACGGCUGCUAAUACCAGGUAUUCACUGUCCUUCGCAUGGGGGGUGGGUGGAAAGGUUUUUUCUGGUGGGGGAUGGGCUCGCGGCCUAUCAGCUUGUUGGUGGGGUGAUGGCUUACCAAGGCUUUGACGGGUAACCGGCCUGAGAGGGUGACCGGUCACAUUGGGACUGAGAUACGGCCCAG
This 255-nucleotide ribosomal RNA is filed under the name uncultured bacterium. RNAcentral's name for it is "partial 16S ribosomal RNA". It matches the Rfam family "Bacterial small subunit ribosomal RNA", at positions 82 to 334 of the family's 1533-position model. The record is from RNAcentral.